UUCUUUUGUGGGUUUAUAAAUAGGCUUUCCUCUUUUAUUUUUUCUUCAAUUGGUUAAAUCUCGUUCAUGGGCUUUUUAAAUUUUAGGCCCAUAAAGCUUUUGUGGACUUGAUGGGCUUUGGUAGUUGGGAGAUUUUACCGCAUGCUUGGGUGCAGUUCCCCCACGUUCGCAAUUUGUGCCUAACUUUUCAUUUUGCGCGCCCUCUCCACUUUCUGAAACCUUUUGCAUUUAUAUGCGCCCCUUCC
RNAcentral lists this long non-coding RNA (245 nucleotides) under Setaria italica (foxtail millet). RNAcentral's name for it is "long non-coding RNA (SITA_LNC001403)". The record is from RNAcentral. Lineage: Eukaryota; Viridiplantae; Streptophyta; Magnoliopsida; Poales; Poaceae.